RNAcentral lists this ribosomal RNA (293 nucleotides) under Paraburkholderia polaris. RNAcentral describes it as "Paraburkholderia sp. RP-4-7 partial 16S ribosomal RNA". It matches the Rfam family "Bacterial small subunit ribosomal RNA", at positions 1245 to 1533 of the family's 1533-position model. Lineage: Bacteria; Pseudomonadati; Pseudomonadota; Betaproteobacteria; Burkholderiales; Burkholderiaceae. The record is from RNAcentral.
GGUCGCCAACCCGCGAGGGGGAGCCAAUCCCAGAAAACCGAUCGUAGUCCGGAUCGCACUCUGCAACUCGAGUGCGUGAAGCUGGAAUCGCUAGUAAUCGCGGAUCAGCAUGCCGCGGUGAAUACGUUCCCGGGUCUUGUACACACCGCCCGUCACACCAUGGGAGUGGGUUUUACCAGAAGUGGCUAGUCUAACCGCAAGGAGGACGGUCACCACGGUAGGAUUCAUGACUGGGGUGAAGUCGUAACAAGGUAGCCGUAUCGGAAGGUGCGGCUGGAUCACCUCCUUUCUCG